ACAAUAAUAAUACAUAAGGGUUUCAAUUGCAAUACAAUCACUAGAAAUAAGAGAAUAGUAUGCACAAAAUCAUAGCAUAGACAUGUUAAAUAGACAAUAAAAUAAAACAUUCAAUAGCUCAUCAAAGGUCAACAUUUAAACACUGGUCUCCAUCUGAUAUUCUAUCUGUGUUCCAAUGUCCACAGGUUUCUGCUAUAUCUGAAAAAGGUAAGAAAACAGAUCAGGAUUACUU
Molecule: non-coding RNA, 232 nt
Organism: Pelobates cultripes (western spadefoot toad)
Lineage: Eukaryota; Metazoa; Chordata; Amphibia; Anura; Pelobatidae
Source: the annotation of a GenBank genome assembly